GGGCACUGAAGAAAGGAACUGGA
Molecule: non-coding RNA, 23 nt
Filed under: Cricetulus griseus (Chinese hamster)
Lineage: Eukaryota; Metazoa; Chordata; Mammalia; Rodentia; Cricetidae
Source: RNAcentral